Molecule: long non-coding RNA, 139 nt
Organism: Octopus sinensis (East Asian common octopus)
Lineage: Eukaryota; Metazoa; Mollusca; Cephalopoda; Octopoda; Octopodidae
Exons: 3
Source: RefSeq, a predicted model, not a curated record
GGGAUGACCGCCCCACCUUUUUUUCCGAACCAAAAUAAGGGAUUUGCAGCAUAUUAGGAUGUCAGGAUACUUGAUUCCACGCCAAAAAAUCCGGUUUUUUUUUUCCUUAGUGAAGAUCGCACAGGUGGUACACAAAAAA